RNAcentral lists this ribosomal RNA (458 nucleotides) under uncultured bacterium. RNAcentral describes it as "bacterial SSU rRNA". It matches the Rfam family "Bacterial small subunit ribosomal RNA", at positions 55 to 507 of the family's 1533-position model. The record is from RNAcentral.
AUGCAAGUCGACGGUAACAGGCCCUUCGGGGUGCUGACGAGUGGCGGACGGGUGAGUAACGCGUAGGAAUUUGCCCAGUAGUGGGGGACAACUUGGGGAAACCCAAGCUAAUACCGCAUACGCCCUACGGGGGAAAGCGGGGGAUCUUCGGACCUCGUGCUAUUGGAUGAGCCUGCGUCGGAUUAGCUAGUUGGUAGGGUAAAGGCCUACCAAGGCGACGAUCCGUAGCUGGUUUGAGAGAACGAUCAGCCACACUGGGACUGAGACACGGCCCAGACUCCUACGGGAGGCAGCAGUGGGGAAUAUUGCACAAUGGGCGCAAGCCUGAUGCAGCAAUGCCGCGUGUGUGAAGAAGGCCUGCGGGUUGUAAAGCACUUUCAAUUGGGAAGAAAAGGUUAGGGUUAAUACCCCUGAUUCUUGACGUUACCUUUAGAAAGAAGCACCGGCUAACUCCCGUG